RNAcentral lists this ribosomal RNA (407 nucleotides) under uncultured bacterium. RNAcentral describes it as "partial 16S ribosomal RNA". It matches the Rfam family "Bacterial small subunit ribosomal RNA", at positions 28 to 526 of the family's 1533-position model. The record is from RNAcentral.
GACGAACGCUGGCGGCGUGCCUAAUACAUGCAAGUAGAACGCAGUUGCGAACGGGUGAGUAACGCGUAGGUAACUGCCUGGUAGCGGGGGAUAACUAUUGGAAACGAUAGCUAAUACCGCAUCCUAACAGAUGGACCUGCGUUGUAUUAGCUAGUUGGUGGGGUAAAGGCCUACCAAGGCGACGAUCAGUAGCGGGUCUGAGAGGUUGGUCCGCCACACUGGGAGUGAGACACGGCCCAGACUCCUACGGGAGGCAGCAGUGGGGAAUUUUGGACAAUGGGCGCAAGCCUGAUCCAGCCAUGCCGCGUGUAUGAAGAAGGCCCUAGGGUUGUAAAGUACUUUCAGUCGGGAGGCGUUACCGACAGAAGAAGCACCGGCUAACUCCGUGCCAGCAGCCGCGGUAAUUC